CACGAUCGAAGGAGAGGAAGACUAUCUUCCUGACGAGAUGACCAUUAAAUCUAUUGAGAUCUCACAAGCGUCACGUCUUAUGAACGAAGAAAAGUUUCUAUCCCGUCUCCAAAACCCUUUUGUUGUGUCUUUCUACGGCCACGAGGUCACUAUAGAGAAGGACGGGAAGGAUCCAUUACUCGAGAAGAUGUAUUACAACACGUUACAAGAGUACAGCUCAGGAAGAAACCUAGCGACACACAUUGAAAAAAACAGAGGAAAAUUACCGGAAGAUGAUGUGAGGAGUCUCGCUAAUGAGAUAUUGCUUGGUCUCAAGUAUAUUCAUGAAGAGAAGAUCAUUCAUUGUGACAUCAAACCAAAGAAUAUCAUACUUCCGUUUGAGAAUAACCUAUUUGCUCAGAUCGCUGGUUUUGGAAAAGCGAUAAAGAAAUGGUCGGUUGAGUAUGGUGAAGGAUUAGGUCAUAGGAUAGGCACGUCACGAUUAUUGCCCCCGGAG
Molecule: small RNA, 496 nt
Filed under: Arabidopsis thaliana (thale cress)
Lineage: Eukaryota; Viridiplantae; Streptophyta; Magnoliopsida; Brassicales; Brassicaceae
Description: ATSL175060
Source: RNAcentral